AAACAAACAAACAAACAAACAAAUAACUUAGAAUAGAAAUGUUCUCAGCAUAGAGAUUUAUGAAAACAAGGAUAGUGAAAAUAGACAAAAUUAAGUAAAAUCACAAAUUCCCUCAGCAUCAUCAGUAACAUCCAUAAGCUUGAAUUACAAAUUAGCAAUUCUACAAUCUUUAAAAGUGGAUGCUAUAUUUAUCACCCACCCAUGAAAUCUCUAAUUCCCUAAUCACUAAAAAGAAAGUGAAACAAGCAAGCGAAUUGAAAUAGUGAGAUAAGGAUGAAAACCCACCUGUAAACAGUUG
RNAcentral lists this unclassified non-coding RNA (298 nucleotides) under Hevea brasiliensis (rubber tree). The record is from RNAcentral. Lineage: Eukaryota; Viridiplantae; Streptophyta; Magnoliopsida; Malpighiales; Euphorbiaceae.